Molecule: ribosomal RNA, 467 nt
Filed under: uncultured bacterium
Lineage: Bacteria
Description: partial 16S ribosomal RNA
Rfam family: Bacterial small subunit ribosomal RNA
Source: RNAcentral
GACGAACGCUGGCGGCGUGCUUAACACAUGCAAGUCGAACGGAAAGGCCUCUUUCGGGGGGUACUCGAGUGGCGAACGGGUGAGUAACACGUGAGUAACCUGCCCUUGACUUUGGGAUAACUUCAGGAAACUGGGGCUAAUACCGGAUAGGAGCUCCUGCUGCAUGGUGGGGGUUGGAAAGUUUCGGCGGUUGGGGAUGGACUCGCGGCUUAUCAGCUUGUUGGUGGGGUAGUGGUUUACCAAGGCUGUUACGGGUAGCCGGCCUGAGAGGGUGACCGGCGACACUGGGACUGAGAUACGGCCCAGACUCCGACGGGAGGCAGCAGUGGGGAAUAUUGCACAAUGGGUGGAAGCCUGGUGCAGCAACGCCGUGUGCGGGAUGACGGCCUUCGGGUUGUAAAACGCUUUCGCUCAUGACGAAGCUUUGUGUGACGGUAGUGGGUAAAGAAGCACCGGCUAACUACGUG